CAAAGAACUCUGGGAUUAUGAGUUUAAAAAAUACACACGCAACAUAUAAACUCGUUUUAAUGUAAAUUGGUGUCUAAAACGUUAGUUGACUGUUGUUUAAAUGGCAGCUUGUACAGAUGAGAGUCAGAGUCAGUUAUCAUUAACUCAAGCCCUAGAAAAUAUUAGCCAACAUGGCCACACUCAGACUGAAACUCUGCAAGAGAAGCAGAAGACACUCAGCUACCUACAGGUAAUUCUGGCAGGUGAGCAGAAGAAAGGGGAUGAGGCCCAAAGGAAAUUGAGAUGUAAAGCCACAGAGCUCCUCGUCCUGGAGGACGAGAUGAUGCAUUCAAAGAAGCAGAUGCAGGCCCAACAUGACCAGUGUGCUUCCAUCAGAGCGGACAACAUCAAACUCCAAGAGCAAAUAUAUGAGCAGGAAGAAAAGGCCUGCACGGCACGAAUACAGUUUAACAUUUAUAGAAGAAAGAUGAAUGGCCACAGGCAGGCGGCUUUGCAUGCAGCAGGCUGGACUUCGGCUUGUAAGGAGCUGGAGGAGAAGAGGGCGCUGGUUCAGACUCUGAGGAAGGCCAAGGGUGAGCUGGAGGAGGAUUUAAAGAAUUGUCAUGGAAACACUGCCCGGAUGGCAAAGAGAGAAGUUGAUGCUCUGAAAGGAGAGAUUGCUGUCAUGAGGGAAACUAUAGCUGGGAUGAGAGAGAAUCUGCAGAAAGAGUUGGAGACUCAUGCCCAGACAAAGAAAGACAUUGAGAUUCAAAACAAGCGCUUUGCAGCCAUGGUCAAGUGCCUUCAUCGCCAACUGAGCAAGGCCCAGACUUUUCAUAGGCAAAUGUCCAGCGACAUGGACCACAUGAAGAGACAGAUAACCGAGCUCAAAAGUAAGCUGGGAUCAACGAAUGACUCCGUGAUCAUCUGCAAGCCAUAUGAAGACCAACAAUAAGAAGCAGAACGUGACUUUUCAGCCACGUCCGUACCUCUCUCCCCCUCUGCUCCCGGCCGCUCACUGUUAAAGACAACAGAUGAUUAGAAUAACACGUACCACCUGUGAUAUCUAAUCACCUGCAAGCUGUGUCUUGCCGUCAGCACAUGCCCCGCCCCUGCCCGAUGGUGCUAGUCCUCAGUGCUAUGGACAGCGGCGGUGAGUUUUCCUCCUGCAAGCAGCGCUGACUACACCUCCCCUCACACUAGCCAGCUGCUAAGCUAGCGCGGAGAAAGGCAGCGCCGGUCAGUAAGAAGCUACUCCUACAGACCGCGACCACUUCCCUGAGGACAGCAGGAACUUCACUCGGUGACAGAAAACACUGUGAGUAAUGGCUUCCUGCGCGUCUUGCACCAUACUCACGGAGAGGUUGGCUCUGCUAGAGGGCCGUGUCCGCCAGUUAGAGCAGAGUAAUGUCGUAACUUUAGAUGUUGCGGACACAUCUGCUAGCGUUAGCUGUAGCGAGCUAACUAGCCCAGCUUGUAGCAGUCCUAAGCGGCCUACAAGCUACGGUGUACCGGUUGAGACGCAUAAUAGAUUUAGCUCUUUAGCUAGUCCUACACCCCAGUCUACCGGGCACCACACCUUAGUUAUAGGGGACUCCAUCACCCGAAACAUAAAGCUUAGCAAACCAGCCACAAUAAAGUGUAUCCCCGGGGCCAGAGCACCUGACAUUGAAGCUAAUCUUAGGGAGCUAACUCGCAACAGGCCUAGUAAACACGUACGACAGGCUAAUCGCACCACUAAUUAUGCGAAUAUAGUUGUACACGUUGGCUCCAAUGACACUAGAAUGAGACAGUCAGAGAUUACAAAGAGAAACAUAGCCAGGACUUGUGAUCUCGCCAGAAAGAUGUCCAGGCAUCGAGUAAUUGUCUCUGGCCCCCUGCCUGCGAGAGGCAAUGAUGAGAGAUAUAGCAGAUUAGUCUCGCUUAACAAGUGGUUGGCUAGCUACUGUAGGACGCAGGGACUAACGUUUAUUGAUAACUGGCCCUCUUUCUGGGGCAAACCAGGCUUGCUGAUGAGAGACGGCCUUCACCCUAACCAGGAAGGCGCCAUCAUCCUGUCUAGAAACAUAGACUACUAUUUAAGUCUCACUUGACUGACUACACUAGAGCAAGCCCGGUCACAGGCAAUUACAAUGUCUGUUAGUCCGGGUGAGGAGUCAGUUAAGCUAGAACUAGCCAGCGCCAGGCUGGAUAAUCCAUGUACGCAUAGCAAUUCUCUUAGAAUAAUACACAAUUCACAUAAUGUUUUUUCUGUUGUGUCUGUGUCAGAGGUGGACAUGCAUUCUACUGAGGUGGCAAAUUAUGAUAUGUCCAGUCUACUGCAGCACCAAGCAAACAAUCGGAAAAUUCCCGUCAUAUCAAUUCCUAGAUAUGGUCGAAACUAUUUAAAGUGCACUACGCAUAAUAAACGCAACAUUGUUAAUAUUGCCACUACGGAUAAUCUUAACAAAAACUCGUCAAAACAGCCCAAUACCUAUAAUAUGGGCUUUUUAAACAUAAGAUCAUUGUCUCCCAAGGCGUUAUUGGUUAAUGAGGUCAUUAGAGACAACAAUCUUAACGUCAUUGGUCUUAGCGAAACCUGUCUCAAACCGGACAAAUUUUUUGCGCUCAAUGAGGCAUCUCCUCCUAACUAUACGAAUGCGCAUGUUGCCCGCCCUCUUAAAAGGGGAGGGGGUGUCGCACUAAUAUACAAUGAAAAUUUCAACCUUACCCCUAACCUAAAUAAUAAAUAUAAAUCGUUUGAGGUGCUUACUAUGAGGUCUGUCACACCGCUACCUCUCGACCUGGCUGUUAUCUACCGCCCCCCUGGGCCCUAUUCGGACUUUAUCAGUGAAUUCUCAGAGUUCGUUGCUGAUCUAGUGACGCACGCCGACAAUAUAAUCAUAAUGGGGGACUUUAAUAUCCAUAUGAAUACCCCAUCGGACCCUCAGUGCGUGGCGCUCCAAACCAUAAUUGAUAGCUGUGGUCUUACACAAAUAAUACAUGAACCCACGCAUCGCAACGGUAAUACAAUAGAUCUAGUGCUUGUCAGGGGUGUCACCACCUCCAAAGUUAUGAUACUUCCAUAUACUAAAGUAAUGUCCGAUCAUUACCUUAUAAAAUUUGAAGUUUUGACUCUUUGUCAACAAGCUAAUAAUAAUAAUAACUGCUAUAGCGGCCGCAACAUUAAUGCUGCCACAACGAUGACUCUUGCUGACCUACUGCCUUCGGUAAUAGCACCAUUCCCAAAUUAUGUCGGCUCUAUUGAUAAACUCACUAACAACUUUGACGAUGCCUUGCGCGAAAUUAUUGAUAGUAUAGCACCGCUAAAGCAAAAAAGGGCCCCUAAAAGGCGCACCCCAUGGUUUACAGAAGAAAUUAGAGCUCAUAAAUUAUCAUGUAGAAAACUGGAACGCAAAUGGCGCGCGACUAAACUUGAGGUUUUUCAUCAAGCAUGGAGUGAUAGUUUAAUAACUUAUAAACGCAUACUUACCUUAGCUAAAGCUAAAUACUACUCAAAUCUUAUCCGCCUCAACAAAAACGAUCCUAAAUUUCUGUUUAGUACAGUAGCAUCGCUAACCCAACAAGGGACUCCUCCCAGUAGCUCCACCCACUCGGCAGAUGAUUUUAUGAAUUUCUUUAAUAAGAAAAUUGAACUCAUUAGAAAGGAGAUUAAAGACAACGCAUCCCAGCUACAACUGGGCUCUAUUAACACAAAUACGACUGUAUAUACGACGGACACUGCCCUCCAAAAUAGUCUCUCUAUUUUUGAUGAAAUAACAUUAGAGGAAUUAUUACAGCGUGUAAGUGGGAUAAAACAAACAACAUGUUUACUUGACCCACUUCCUGGGAAACUUAUCAAGGAACUGUUUGUAUUAUUAGGUCCAUCAGUGUUAAAUAUUAUAAACUUAUCACUUUCCUCCGGCACUGUUCCCCUAGCAUUCAAAAAAGCGGUUAUUCAUCCUCUGCUCAAAAGACCUAACCUCGAUCCUGACCUCAUGGUAAACUACCGACCGGUCUCCCACCUUCCGUUUAUUUCCAAAAUUCUCGAAAAAACUGUUGCACAGCAGCUAAAUGAACACUUAGUGACUAACAAUCUCUGUGAACCUUUUCAAUCCGGUUUCAGGGCAAAUCACUCUACGGAGACAGCCCUCGCAAAAAUGACUAAUGAUCUAUUGCUAACGA
Molecule: RNA transcript, 4143 nt
Organism: Entelurus aequoreus (snake pipefish)
Lineage: Eukaryota; Metazoa; Chordata; Actinopteri; Syngnathiformes; Syngnathidae
Gene name: myosin-7B-like
Exons: 9
Source: RefSeq, a predicted model, not a curated record